CGAUUCUGGCUCAGGAUGAACGCUAGCGAUAGGCCUAACACAUGCAAGUCGAGGGGCAGCAUAGAGUAGCAAUACUUUGAUGGCGACCGGCGCACGGGUGAGUAACACGUAUGCAACCUACCUACAGUCAGGGGAAUAACCCCGGAGAAAUUCGGACUAAUACCGCAUAAUACAGGGAUGCCGCAUGGCAAUAUUUGUUAAAGAUUUAUCGGAUGUAGAUGGGCAUGCGUUCCAUUAGCUGGUUGGUAAGGUAACGGCUUACCAAGGCAACGAUGGAUAGGGGAACUGAGAGGUUUGUCCCCCACACUGGAACUGAGACACGGACCAGACUCCUACGGGAGGCAGCAGUGAGGAAUAUUGGUCAAUGGACGAGAGUCUGAACCAGCCAAAUCGCGUGAAAAGGAAGACUGCCCUACGGGUUGUAAACUUCUUUUGUACAGGAAUAAAAGACAUUACGUGUAAUGUAUUGCAUGUACUGUACGAAUAAGCAUCGGCUAACUCCGUGCCAGCCGCCGC
RNAcentral lists this ribosomal RNA (516 nucleotides) under uncultured bacterium. RNAcentral describes it as "bacterial SSU rRNA". It matches the Rfam family "Bacterial small subunit ribosomal RNA", at positions 14 to 518 of the family's 1533-position model. The record is from RNAcentral.